UACGGAAGGCAGCAGUGGGGAAUAUUGCACAAUGGGCGCAAGCCUGAUGCAGCCAUGCCGCGUGUAUGAAGAAGGCCUUCGGGUUGUAAAGUACUUUCAGCGGGGAGGAAGGCGGUGGAGUUAAUAGCUUCACCGAUUGACGUUACCCGCAGAAGAAGCACCGGCUAACUCCGUGCCAGCAGCCGCGGUAAUACGGAGGGUGCAAGCGUUAAUCGGAAUUACUGGGCGUAAAGAGCACGUAGGUGGUUUUUUUAAGUCAGAUGUGAAAUCCCUGGGCUUAACCUAGGAACUGCAUUUUGAAACUGAAAUACUAGAGUAUCGUAGAGGGAGGUAGAAUUCUAGGUGUAGCGGUGAAAUGCGUAGAUAUCUGGAGGAAUACCUGUGGCGAAAGCGGCCUCCUAAAACGAUACUGACACUGAGGUGCGAAAGCGUGGGGAGCAAACAGGGAUUAGAUACC
RNAcentral lists this ribosomal RNA (457 nucleotides) under uncultured bacterium. RNAcentral's name for it is "bacterial SSU rRNA". It matches the Rfam family "Bacterial small subunit ribosomal RNA", at positions 340 to 786 of the family's 1533-position model. The record is from RNAcentral.